GAGUCUCCUGAAGGAACGUUGAAGACGACAACGUUGAUAGGCCGGGUGUGUAAGCGCAGCGAUGCGUUGAGCUAACCGGUACUAAUGAACCGUGAGGCUUAACCUUACAACGCCGAAG
This 118-nucleotide ribosomal RNA is filed under the name Salmonella enterica. Its description in RNAcentral is "partial 23S ribosomal RNA". The stretch from base 1 to 106 matches the Rfam family "Bacterial large subunit ribosomal RNA", at positions 2820 to 2925 of the family's 2925-position model. The record is from RNAcentral. Lineage: Bacteria; Pseudomonadati; Pseudomonadota; Gammaproteobacteria; Enterobacterales; Enterobacteriaceae. RNAcentral also lists the same sequence under 5 other names.